This is a non-coding RNA of Arvicanthis niloticus (Nile rat), 76 nucleotides long. Lineage: Eukaryota; Metazoa; Chordata; Mammalia; Rodentia; Muridae. The record is from RefSeq and is a predicted model, not a curated record.
CUUCCUAUCUACAAUAACAGGAGGGGCCUAGGGAUCCCUCCCUACUCUCUUAAAUACCAUCAAUAAACAUUUGCUG